Molecule: long non-coding RNA, 27709 nt
Filed under: Gossypium raimondii (Peruvian cotton)
Lineage: Eukaryota; Viridiplantae; Streptophyta; Magnoliopsida; Malvales; Malvaceae
Description: long non-coding RNA (GRAI_LNC007133)
Source: RNAcentral
CAACUUUUGAGAUGCAAGUAGAUUACGAGGGCCUUUACCUUGUUCGCGUAAUAAAUGCUGUUGCCAAUGAAACAAUGGUGUUUGACAUCGAAAACCACAGAUUGACCAUUGUCGGACAAAAUGGGACCUAUUCCAAUCGUUCCUUUACAAAUUCUUUAACCCUAGCCCCAGGCCAAGUUAUUGACGUCUUGUUGUUUCCAAACCAAAAUGUUGGCCGUUAUUACAUCACUGCUCGAUCUUCCUCCAGCACACAUAUUACCAAUGGAAUGCUGCGAUACACCACCACUACCACUUUUUAAUAUAGGUAAAUAGUUUCCGUUGCUAAGAAAUAAUAAUAAGGUGAAUGUUGAAAUAAGAAAUUAAAUAUAAUGUGUGUAUGUUCCUUUAUAAUUUGUUGUGAUCCUUGUUCGUUGGUUGAACGAUGUGUUUUGAAUGUUGUAAUGGGAAAAUGUUCUUUAAUUAAAAUGUACAAUAUUUAUUCAUUAUUGUAAGACCCAUAGAGAUCCAACCAAUUGGAUCUUUGUUCCAAUUCAAUUACUUCAAAAAAUAAAUUAAAGAUACUUACAAUUGCAAAAGAAUAAUUUAAAAUUAUUAAAAAUUAAGGAAUAAUAUUUUUCUUUAAAAAACCAAACAUAAAAUUGAAAAAAAAAUCAAUUAUUGUUAAAAAUAAUAAAAAAUUCUACAUUUUGAUUUAUUUGAAAUAGAUAUAUAUUUUUAAUUAUAUUCCGAUUGAAUAGUUUUUAAUUCAAUCACUUCUUAUAAUAUCGUAUUUAUUUAAGGCUAAAAUUAAGUGACUGGUAAAUAGGGUUAGAAGUUAAAUAUUGCAUAAAUUUCAUACCAACAACAAAUAAUAUUGAAAAAGUUUAUACGUCAUCAAAAUUUUGUAAAAAUAAAUUUAAAUGAUGUCAUUUUUACUAUGCAAUAAUAAUAAAUUAUAUUAAAACCUUUUAUCUUCAGCAUAAUAAAAUGCUUAUUUCAAGUUUCCAAACAUGAGAGAGAGAGAGACUGAAGCAUUCGGGGAAAAAAUAGAAGCAUCGAAAUUAGGAUUGUGGACAAUGGGGCAUCUAAUCAGGCAGUGACUCGAUUGUAUAAUAAGAAUUGGGUUUGAUUUAGUUUCUAUAUUUAUAAAUUUAUAAAUGGAUUAGUUUUAUGUUUGUAUUAUGUUAAAAAGAAGUUUAAUCUUUGUAUUAAUAAAAAGAUUCAUACAAAGUUAAUAUUAUUUUGUAAAGGUAUACUUAUUUUUUUUUACCUUCCAAAUUAAUAAAAAAUUUUAUUAAAGUCAUCUUAGUCAUUUAUUUGAUUUUUCGUUUUAUUUAGCCUUUGAACUUGUAAUUUUUGUCAAAUCACCUCAAAUUUGAUGGAAAAGUUAAAGUUUUUUAACUUUAAUGAUAUGACAUAUGUUAAACUGAACGUCGAUAAUGGCAAUAUAGAAUGAUCGCAAAGCAAUAAGAAAGAAAAUUAAAACACACAGAUUUUACGUAGAAAUCCUUUCGGGAAAAAGCCACGAGUACAGGAGAAGAAAAUUCGCUAAUGUUGAAAAUGGAAUGAUACAAGAGGAGUUUCGAUUAUAUUGACCCCGACAACAGGAUGGGAGUGCGAUGUGUAGCAAGCCGGAGAGGGAGGCAAAGGGUUCUCAUCUUUCCCAACAAGAUGUAGGAAGACAAUAUGGCACUCCUAGGUUGUUUUCUGGUCGGCUUUCAUGUAUCUCUCACCCGUGGGAAUACGAAAUUUCGUCUUCAUGCAAAGGGUGGCCACCACCAUCUUCAUUAUCCUCAUAAUUGGCCUCUUGAAAAUGGCGCUGUAAGUCAUCGGGAGGUCAACCGCUAGAAAAUCCACCAUUUUUAUGGUGGUGUGCUCACCAUUUCCCAUUACCAAUGGAAGGAAAAAUGGACCCCUUAACCGCAAUGGGCUGGUUGGCAAAACUGUACACCGGGCUUGCAAGUUUGAGUUGGGCAUCCUUGAGCCUCAUUUGAUGAAAAGCAUUGGUCAUCAGAAUAUCCACAGAGCUGCCUGUGGUCACCCCAUAGGCUUAGUACUCUUAAAGGGUCACCCUUCCUCUUCAUGGUCCCUAGAGGUAUUUAUAAGCAGAGGUCCCGUGCAGGGUGGUGUUAACCUGUUAGACUUUUCAUCUAGCCAUCAUUAGAGAGCUCGUGGAAGGGGUGUCUUCAAUGGGACAAGGAUGUCUAUGACAAGAAAGAUCUUUUCAUUCAUUCUAAAGUUAAUGGGAUAAAGUAAUUGAGCCCACGUGCUAUUUGGUAACCAAACAACUUCACGUUCCCAAUGAAGAUAAAAUCAUCCAUUGUCCGGAUAGUCCUCCAAGGAGGGUGAGCUCACGGAUGACCGCUCGGCUUGUUGGUGGUAGGCUUACAUGUACAAGCAUCUUCUAGGCUUGUCACAUGUAUUGUCACGGAUGGGGGGUAUAACAAUCGUGAUGUUAGUGUUGGAAAAAAUCCUGUUCGAAAAUAAUUUUCUUGCAUAGCGAAAAAUACAAAUUUUGAAAAAAAGACCAGGUUUGUGAUAUUUAUAGCAAUAAACCCAAAAUCCGUACCUAUGUUUUCGGAUAGGCGGAUCCUUUUUGUUCUCAGCUUUCAACCAAACUAUCUUCUCCGUUAUUCUUGUACCACGAACUGCUUCGAGUGUGGGCUCGAACAAAUCAAAUCAAACACAAAACGAGAAAUAUUUUCUUUACUUCUAGUAGGAAAGUAAAUCUCUCUUAAAUUUAAACCAGUAAAAUUGUAAUUCUCAGAAAAUAGAAUUUAUUCUUAAAAUAAAUUUCCACUACUUUCUGUAAGAAUAGCAAUAUUGAAAACUUUAGAGAAAAUUGUGUUUUUCUAUUUCUAUUGGUGUUAUUUGAAGCCUACCGGUGUCAUCUAUUCAUAGGAAGAGUUGGUAGAAUCCUGGUUGAAGUGGUAGAAUACAAAUAAAAUUAUUUUGAUAGAAAAAAUUCCAACUCCCUAUUAUUUAGGAAGAGGGUUGGCAACCCUAGAUGGGAAUACUAAGGUUUGUCGUCCCAUGUAUUCCAUAUAAAGGGAGUUUGACAUUUCCUGUACUGGAUCCAAUUAUAUGUACUUUUUGGACUUUAACCCAACACUUUAUAAUUUAUUCCAACCUAGCACAUGUUUUUUUUUAUUUACCAAAUUAAAUAUUAUUUGCUCCAUUAAUUUAAAUUAAUUAAUUUCUCAAUUAAAUAAUUUUCUCAAUCCAAUUCUAAUUCUGUUAAAAUCAUGACAAAUAACUACCAAUUAAUUUAAAUCCAUUCUCGAACUUCAAUUAUUUAUUUCGUUCUGAAUUCGUGAACAAAUCUCAACCAUUGUUUGAAUCUGUGUAUAUAUCUUAUAAAAUAAAAUAUGUAUUUUUAAGCAACCUCGAGGUUGUAGAAACAAAAAGGGAAAAUGAAAUCUGCGUCAAUAUAUAUCCAUAUAAGUAUGGGUAAAUUAUACUGUAGGUUACUCGAUUAUGCCUAAAUAUCUUUUUAGUCAUCCGAUUAUAAAAAGUUACAAAAUGCUUAUUCAAUUAAUCACAUUUAUCAUUUUAGUCCAAUUCCGUUAUCUAUCAUUAACUUUGUAACGAAGAGAUUAGGUGAGAAAUCAAUCAACUAUAAAAAAUAAUAAAAUGAUUUACAUUACUAUGCAAAUGGUAAUACAAUAAGAUAUGUCCACGGACAACAUCCAUCCUAGCACAUUAUAUGAUAACAAAUGAUUGAUGAGAUAGGAUAUAUAUAUAUGAUAUCAUCAAUGAAUGAGACAAGAUUUGUAAGUACCGUAUUCAAGGAACGCAUUUACCUACUCGAUCCAAGAUUUGACUCAAUUACUAACAUGAUCAUCCAUCUUUAAACAUCAAAUGGAUACACACUUUUGGUAAGUGACAGACAAUUAGCAGGAAACAUACCAAUGUGAGAGCUUAUAAUGCUAAAUGGAGACAAUGGAGACAACUUAAAUGCCUAAUUUCAUCUGUUCGCACCUUUAAUUCUUGAGUGUUUUGGUGCAUAUAUAUGGAUUUCAUCCGAUAAGAACUUCAUUCCACAAUCUCCCACAAGCCUAAUAAAGUAUUCCUUUUUAACCCUCCUUGUUUGUUUCUUUCUCUCUCAAAUGUUUUAGCAAUGGAAAAGCAUAGAAAAGAAAAUCAUGGGAAAACAAAUGAUUGAGAUGAAAAUGAUCAAGAACGUAGAUGAUCGACAAAUCAAUUCUUGAAAUACGAAAUGUCGAUCAGGAAUUUAUAAGAAAAUAUGGAUCUAUCCACUUUAUGUGGUAGUGAGAUUCUUUUUAUUAUUUUAUCGUUAACAAGUACAUCUUUUUCGUUCAAUCACCCCUUAAUUGAAUUUGUUGCUAUUUGUUUUUUGAAUGCAAAUGUACCUAAGAAUGACGACUUGCAUGUUCUUAUUGAAGUUCACUAUUUGGUAAGACCCAAUCGGUUAAUCUAACGUUAUAAUGAGGUACACAAUUAAAUCCAAAGAAAAACAAAAAGUGUACAACUAACAAAUGGAAUAGACACUAAAUCAAAUAGAUGCAUUCAAAGAAAGACAAAAAGUGUACAAUUGAUAAAUGGAAUAGACGCUAAUGGUUGGUGAAAAAGUCUCAUUGAUCAACUUAAUUGGAGGUAGCUCCAUGAAUUUGGCUCAUGUUCCUCAGAACUUGUCGACCUAUGUUAUAUCACCCGGUUAAAAAGGUAGUUGUCGCUUCUUCAAUGCAUGCUCCAACGAAUUUUGGUGAGCAUUGUCCUACCCUUUUCCUACUGCCCCCAAUUCUGAACUACUUAUAUUUUCUUUAAUAUAAUAACUUCCACCUUGUAGAGUUAACAUCGAGUUAUUGGUUUGCUACAGUAAUAUUUUCGAGCCUUAACUACAAUAAAAUAAGUCUACGUGCUAUCCUAGCAACCUAAUAUUUGUUGUUGUUGUUGUUAAUUUAAGUGGCGGUUACCCAUUUAACCCCAAAUUUUAACACCGUUUGUCUAAAAAAUAUUGUCCAACACAAGCUGCCACAUCACCUAGUCAGCUGUAUCUUUUAAAAAUUAUAUGGGAUUAAAAAAUAAAAAAGUUAAAAGAUGAUUUUACUCCUCCAGUUUUUCUUUUACCCUUUCUUCAACCUUAUAUAUCCCUCUCCCUCACGAACGAAUCUGGGUUUUUUUUUCUCUCAAAAUUUUUCUUCAAUUUCUGAACCUGCAGAUGAAUUAUUUUUAAGAUCCGACUUCAUUUCAGAGAUGUCAAGUGGAAGCUCAAACCAUCAUAUUAGUUCAAGGGGAGUGCAAUCUUAUUGCGGCCAAAAGGCACCGGUUUCACAGACCGCAAAAUCUUACUUUGUUUACAAAAUCCAUGGAUCAAAGUGGACAAAGUUACAGCAUCAGGUUCAACACCUAGCUUCAGCAUCUUCCCCAAAACAGAAAACCCAGAAUCAAUUUGAUUUAACUGACAAAAGGAAUUAAUCAAGAUGUUCGAAGAAUACACGUUAUGGAAAACUCCUAAUAAUUCCAUUUGGCUAUACAUAGAAACAACAACGGCAUAAUGUUUCAUUCUAACAAUGGCUGCUAAUAGUUUAAUGAAUUCCAUAAUCCAAGGCUUUGGGCACUUCUCAAUUAUAUUAUUAAACAAAGUCAAAGCAUCAUCAACAUUAUUGAAGCGGUGAUACUUUUUUCGGUUUCCCCUUACUGACAUUGAAGUUUUACUAAAAAGCUUCGAUUUGGGUAACAAUGGUGUUAAAAAGAACAAGAAAAAGAAAGAGCGUAAUGGAAACAUUCCUUCCACCAUUAACAAUUAAACGAAGAAAUAAUGAAGAAUUGAGCUUACCCAUAUCUAGAAAUCCAGCAAAGUGAAAGAAAAACUAGCUACCAUAUUUAACAGUGCACAAAGACAAGAGAACCAGAGAGGGGGAAUGGCUCUAGAGGAAGAUCUCAAAACAAACAAAUCAAACUAUGAACAUGAAAACCUAAACCCAAACGAUAAUGGAAGAUUACGGUCCUAGAAAGAAAAUGAAAAGUUUGGUUUUGAUUACCGAAUGGAAACAAAUGGUUUUAGUUACGAUUUGGGUUGGUUUCUUUUUGGUAAAAAAAAAACUAUUAAUUACGAUAAUAAAUUUAAUUAAAAAUCAUUAUAAAUUACUCUUCCUUAUAACAGACCCAAAACCCAACCAGCCCUAAACCCCCAAAUCAGACCCAGUCAAACUCAAUUUGCCCUUUUUUAAUUAAGUCAUAUAAUAGAAAUUAAAUUUUAUCCAUUAAUUCAAUUACUUACAUAAAUAAACCUGGAUCAUUAUAAAUUACUCUUCCUUUAUAAAUUACACAAAAAUUAAAAUGAAAGUAUAGCAACUGUAUGCAGCAGCAGUAAUUCCAGAGGCUGAUAACAGAAAUUCAGAAGGAAAAAAACACAUAAAUACAACAGGAGGAAAAGGCACCAAGAAUACAAAUUGGUAGCUGAAACUUUAAAUUGAUUUUACAUUAUCAAUCUUCCAAUAACCUCGGGUCUUUACAUUCUCACUCGACCAUACAAAAUUAUGAACAUAAGAUGAAUGCUAGUUGAAACUAUCCCCACAAAUUUGCUAAAAAUUGCAUUAUAAUGGGGUUGGGUAUAUAUACAUAUACACAGCAUUUUUCAACUGGCUAUAAAAAAUGAGGGCUAAUUCAAAUAAAAAAUGUGAAACAAGGAAUACGAGAACUAGGCAGAAAUACCAUUUAGGGACUUGGGUUGAGACCAGGCAUCAUUUGGGGUGCCACACAGUUGGCAAGGGUCAGAGGUUCCCUGUGAACACCAGUGAUCAGGGACACUCAAAAAGUAAGUUGACAUGAACUUUCUGAAUCUUUUCUUAUAUUCCCUGGGAGAAAUUACAGUUGGCAACAAAUUCUUAGGAACAACCAAUGAAGACUUAACCCAUGUCUCCAGUUGUUUGUCCCAAGUAUACUGCCUGAGAUAAUCAAUGAUCCCACAUACAAGCUCCCGCCGCUCCGUAUCCACCCCAACAAGUAAAGAAUAAUCCAUUACAUUGUUUGACUGCAAAAGAGCACAACUCGGUCAACACCUCAUUCCAAAUUUGAGGAAUAUAACAUACAAAGGAAAUAUAUAGAUGAUAUAUGGGGUUGAGGGAGGAUUUGGGAUGUUGGGGUUGAUGGGGAGUACUGAAUACCAUAAGGGCAAAUUUUAUUCAAGAAAAGAAAGAAUGCAUCUAGUCCGAGCAAGGAAAAGUCCAGUAGAAAGAAAUUAAAGCUCACGUUGAGGAAAGUUGUGUCAUUCCAUACAGCCCGUUGCAAGAGACGCUUGGCUUGAUUACUAACAUAUAAUGGAGAGGAAUUCAUGUCAUUGACAAAGUUCUGAUCCAAAAGAACAUCUCCAGAACCCUCAGCAGCAGAAUUGAAUCGAGCAUGCAAGGCCCCUUUAAGAUCAUACUGGCGAGUAAUAUUUCUACCAAAGGUAAGAUUCUCCAUCACCAUAAGAUCAUGUCUCGUCUCUUUCCCUGUUUUAGGCUGUCUUACUAUUACCUGCAAAAUGUUUAAAUGUUCAAAAAAAAAGAGCAAAUAAUAAAGCAAUCGCAUAUUUUUUAAAAUGAAAAUGAGAGCAAACCUGAUAAAUCCCAAGAACUUUAGCAAGGCAAGUUUGGCUUCCCGACUCAAAUGAUUGGUUCAUGUACUUGAAAUAAUGUAAAGCAAACUUCUGAAAUGAUUCAUAUUCUGUGUUCUUGAUUUCUUUUAUAAUAAACCUAUCAUCAAGUGUUUUAGCAAAAAAGGACUUGCUCUUCCCUCCUUUGGCAUCCCAAUUUCUGCAUCGGCUAAGGGAAGCAAUAUAAUCAAGCUCUGAAGGGCAGCACCGCUCUCGAAGAUCACGGAACUGGUUAGCAUAUAAACAAAAUACCGAGUAUUUACCCUUCCCAAGUGAUUUUGAAACCCCUAGAGAAACCUCUAUGUUAUGCGCAUCAGGAGGAACUAGAGAAUCCAACAAGCUUAACCCAUCAAAACUGGAGAAGCGCGACAUUGGAAAACACUUUUCAACAUUUUAGCUUGGUUAAAAUCAAAAAUUUAAAAUUAAACGUUUGGUUCGAAAAGUUGUUUGUUUACUAUUUUUUUUUUAAAUUAAGGUUUGAGUUGAAAAGUGUUUUUAACUUCAAGGGUAAAUAACGGGUCAAAUAAUUUUUUUGAAAUAAAUUAUUUCUUUUAUGUUAAAAUAUGUCAUAAAUUCUCGCACUUUUCAUAAAUUUAGAACUAAUCUUUGCGCUUUUGAUUUUAAGAAUUUAGUCCUUUUAUUUUUUACAUUUUAAAUUUAGAUCCAAUUGUUGUAUAUUGUUAAAAUUAUGUUUAUUAUAACGCCAUUUUUUAAUUAAACGACUAUCAAUUGUGUAAUGCUCAAUUUUUGCCCGGGCCCGUAUAUAAAUAAAUAAAACUAAAUACCAAAUUCAAUUAAAACCAAAUUUUAAAAGUCCGAAUUACAUCAGCCCAAAUGCUAAACCCUAGCCCAAAUUCAGUGUGGCCCAAAACGAAGUUUUCAGAAGCAGAAACAACCAUCGGGCCCUCACUGUGCGCGUGUACCAGCGAUUGUCACUCUCCACGCACGUCGUGCAUGUCUCCUCCGGUGCCCUUGAAACAAACCACGAACAGCAAGUGAGAGAGAAUAAUAGGGAUAUAUGGCAAAAAUUAAAGGGGGAUUGUUUUUUCGGGAAUAUUGGGGUAUAAAAACCGAUUCAUAGGAAAAAAUUUUGGUACGGAUAUUGAAUCAAAAAAGGAGAGAAAGAAAUCAGUGUAAAACAAAAUAUAAGAAAAUAAAAAAUAUCAAUUGAUUGAAGGUGAUUUUCUUCAACAUUUUUCUUCCUUUGCAUUUUUCUUAUUGAAUACUUAUCCGUGUAUACAAGUUUCUGUUAAAAAAAGAGAGAAAAACCAUACCUUUGCGGGUGCUAUCAAAAUCCUUGUUUACUCCAUCUGAAUCGAACGAAAGUGAGGGGUUUUGAGGGGGGAAGUAACGGAGUUGGGGGUUUUGAAGUUGCGGCGGCAAAAAGGAGGGGCUUAGGGUGGGUUUGGAUGGGCGAUUGGGUGCGGUGCGGCGCGUUUAGCUUACUUUUUGUCUCACGCUACAAUAUCGCUAUAGUAUUUAAUCUCACCGCCACCGCUGUUUUUACACUAACCGCAGGUAAACGCACCGUCCAUCCAAACUUACCUUUAGUGUUUUCUGAAAUCUGUUAGGGUGAUUAGGGCUGAUGGUUUUAGGGUUUUGUUUUGGGCAAGCCUGUGUUAAUAGCUUUGAAACAGCGCCGUUUAAAGUGUACCCGAUUACCCGACCCGACGCAGCCAGGAUCCGCGUGUUUUCUGCUUUAAGGGGAUAUUUUCUCAAUCGGUCCCUCCGCUUUUGUGUCGUUUUCAAUGCUUUUUUUACAUAUUUUCAAUUUUGGCCACAUAAUUUUUCUUCUGUUUUAAUUUGGUCCCUCACGCUUCACUGGAACGACGUCGUUUGAUUAACGAGGGAAUAUUUCCCUUUUUGGUCCUCUUUAUUUCACGCGCAUUAUGUUUUGGUCCUUUUUGUGUUUUCCAUUUUUGAAUUCGGCCCCUAAACUCCGUUUCUUUAAAAUUUAAUCCUUAAUAUGUCAUUUUAGGUUUUUUUUAGUAUUUUAAUAUUAUUAAUACUGUCAUAUUGCAUCAUUAUUAUUGUAUUAUUAUUUAUUAUUAUUAUAGUAGUUAUUAUUAUUAUUACUAUUCUUAUUGCUAUUAAUGAUAUUAUUAUUAUUAUUUAUAUAUAUUAAUUUACUUAACUCUUUAUAUACAUUAUUUUAUUCCAUUAUGUACUAGUAUUUUAAAAUUUUUUUUAUAUUAUUGUCAUAUAUUAUUAUUUAAUCUUAUAAUGUAUAAUUUUAUAUUUUCAUAAUUAAUCCCAUGUUUUUAGUGGUUUUAUUUCAUGAUAUAUUCUAGAAAAAUUGGUUUAUAUAUGCUUCUAUGUUUCAAAGUUUUAUAAUGUUUUUUACACAAUGCCAUUAUAUAUAUAUAUACAUAAUUUAUAUCAAACUAUUUUCAUACUUGUAAGCUUACAUAGUAUUAUAUAUAUAUAUAUAUAUAUAUAUAUAUUAUAAUUUAUAUCGAGUUCCCACUCCAAAUGUAUUAUGUUCUUUUUAAAAAAAAAAAGUAAUAUAUGUACAUUAUGUAGUGAAUCUUAAUUUUCUUCUUAUAACAUUUAUUAAAAAAUGUAUUUAGAUACUAUUAUUUCAUGAAGUGUUUAUUUUUUACUUUAUUUCUGAUUUAUUGCAAACUUACAUAUAUGCAUACAUUGUUGUUUCAACAUAUAAUUUAUUAAUUAGGUUUCUCCUCUUGCUUUUUAGUGGAUCUUUAAAAAUUAAUUAAUAAUUUAUUUAAUUUUUGAAUGUGGUAUGACGUGAGAUGAUUGCUAUUAUUCAUAUUGUAUUGCUUGUUUAUAUUUAUAGAUUAUUUGUCACUCAUUAGUGUAUGUUUUAUUUGCGAUCGCUCCAUGUUGUAUAUUAUCAUUUAUCGCAUUUUAUUCGCUUAAAAGGCUAUGUUCGAUAUCAUUCAAGCAUCAAAGUCAUUUUAUCCAAAAGUUUUCAAAAAACGCCAUACUCGGUACUUGUGAUCUUCGAGGGGAUUGAGCCCUAACGUAUUAGGUUUCAAUUUUCCUCGUCGAAUCCAAAUAAUCAAGAAUAUUCUUUAAUCAGAAUGCAAAAAUAAAAGCUCAUCCUUGGGAAUUCUAUACGUUGUGUCCUAACGUAUUGGAUAUGACAUAUUGUUUUCUCGAGAUGAGGAUUUUUCUAAAAUAAUAAAGGCAAUAUUAAAUGUUUGGAAUUUUGAGAAAUUGUGCCCUAACAUAUUGGGCUUCGAUUUUUCAUCUGACUUAAACAAUUGAAUAUUUUUUUAAACUUCACUACAUGAGUUUUAAAAAUCAAAAGACGAGCUCAUUUUCGAGGAUGCGAAGCUCAUUGGAUGUGAUGUUUGAUCUCCCGAAACAAGAGGGUCUUAGCAUGCAUUUUGAUUUAGAUUUAUAUACGUUUUUUAAAGGAUCCUAUUUUAAAUCUUUUCGAGUUUUCGAUAUUCGACAUUAAGACAUUAAUCAAUCAAUUCGAUACCAAUUUUGAGCGUCACGAGGAUGCUAACUCUUUCUCGUGCGUAACUGACUCCCGAACCCGCUUUUCUCUGAAACUCGUAGACCAAAAUCUUUUUAAGGUGAUCCGAUCACACUGCAAUAAAAGAUCAGUGGCGACUCCCAUACUCGUUUUUAUUUUCAAAAUCCAAGUCAAUUUCGUUUUACAAAAAAAUGGUUUCGACAAAUUGAGUAUUUUUUUAUUUAAACAAAAGUAACAACUGAACUUGAAUUUUAAAAUCUGAAAAAAUAUAAGGACUAAAUUUCUUUAAAUAAAAAUACAGAAACUAAAUUAUAAAUCUAGGAAAAGUAAAAUGAUGACAUUUUUUAACCUGGCUUUCAUUUAUAUAUAAGGAAUUUCACCUUUAUUACAAAACAUAUGUUCCUAUAUUUCACAAAUUCAGUUUCCUUUUUAUUUUUCUAGAUAUAUACAACCUCAAAUCACAGUUUCAGUUGACCGUAAAUGGGCCAAUUAUAAAUCAGUCUUUCUGUGCUUUUACGUCUUUUUAAGGACCGUCGCUUUUUAAAUUUACGCUUCCAGUCCCUCAUGUUUUUCAAAAUUAGGUUCUUCCGUAUUUCACUUUUCAACCCAUUUAUUUGAAAGCAGAAAAUGCAUUAAUGUAUGUAAUUGUAGUUCCAACGUUAAUUUAUCAAUUAAGAAAAGGAAAAGGUUGCAUUGUGUUGAUUUUGGUUGAAAUUGGUAAAGAAAUUAAGAUUUCUUAAGGUUGCAAGUAAAUCCGUUGAUUCCUGUACAAUUGUAUUAUAAAUAUAUUUACACUUCCAGUCCCUUAUUUCUUUUUCUUUUGCAUGCUUCUAUCUACCAUGCUCACUAUUAUUCAUUUCUCCAUAAUUCUUAAACAAUUUACACCUAAAAAAGUAAGGAUACUAUUUUUCAAACGGGCAACACAUUUAAUUUUUUAAAAAUAAACUUCAAUUUAUCCUAGUAUUAUUUAUUUAAAUAUUUAUAUGAAUUAUAGUACAUAUUUUGAUCACAUACAUCACACGAAUAUGCACGCUAGUACAUUUUAAGAAAGUUUUUGUCGCUCUACAAAUUUCACUAGUAAUUGACUUACAAUAAUGCGAUAUAUAUGUUUUGAAGAAUAAUGUGAUAGUUAAAACUAGUUAAUUGUGAAUUACUAAUAAAAGUUUGGUGCUUAAUAGGUUUAAAUAAAAUAUUAUAGGUCCAAUUUUGUGAAUAAAACCGAUAAUCUAUCAUGAUUUCAAUAAUCAAUUCAUAUAUAAUUUAGACGUUCUAAAAUAAAAUUAAGAAUAUAUAACUUUUCACAACAGUGAUUUAAAUAUGAAAAGAUAGUCACAACUUAAAUUCUUAAUAAAUAUUUAUUCUAAAAUUAUGAAAUUAAAAUUUUAUUACUGUUACGUGCUAUUCAGUUGCACGUGUCAAUCCACUUUAUUCAAUGCUUGUAUUAGGUCUAGGUUCCAGGACAACGAGGCAUGGUAGAUGGCGGUGGGCGCAUGCUGGUUUCGGUGGUGGUUCCAUUCCUCACAAUCAAAACAGUGCUCAUUCCCCAGCUACUAUGCCUUUCGAAAUGGCAAUGCAUAUACCACACCCCUGAAAACGUUAUAUUAUAUAUAAAUAUCAAUUACUUCGGUAGUUAGAAAGAUGGACGACAAUGAGCUCUGUUUUUUCUAAUUGAAAAACUUACCGGGGUUGUUUGCAAAAAACCUGAGGGCAACCCAUCCUGCAGCAGGACUGUGGACAGUGUUAAUAAAUGGCGGAUCAACCAGGUUAUAUGUGCUUGGGUCCGUCUCAUUGUUGAAAUUUCCGGUGCCAAUUCCCACCCAAUAGAAGCUGAAACCGUGCAAAUGAAUUGGGUGACUUCCACCAGCCCCCAACCGGGUCGUUUGCAGCACCAUCUCCACUGCAUCCCCAUAAUUUACCAUAAUAGCCCUCGUCCCUUCCCCAGCUUCAGUAUUGAAAUCAGUCAAGUUCCCAGUGAAAUCAUAAAAUAUUGGUGGAUUAAACGGAAAAUCUUGGGUGAAAACGCCAGUGAUGUUCCUGCAAUGUUACCAAAACUUUAAGAAUUAGCUACAGUAAUCAAAUUAUUUUUUCUUUUCUUUUCUAGCGGUACUAGGAUUGCUAUAUAUAUACACACACACACACCCGUAGUAUGCUUGGAGAAUGUCAAUACGUGGGGAAACAAAGCUGACAUUGUUCAGACUUGCAGCGAAUCUGCUAUCUGAAACACAUUCUGAUGUGUUGCAUGGCAAGGUGUUUGAGGCGAUUGUAAUGUACACUCGUCUGUUGAUAUCUGUAUCCGCCGGUACAUUUAUGGUCGGGUUUUGGGAGACAUUGGUGUACCGAAUUUGGCUGAUGAAGUUAAGCGUAGCAUCUGUAUCGUUCAUUGCGGGCAGCGAUAUCAAGGAAGCAUUCAGUCCACCCUCGCUGUUUCUAUAUUGAAAAAUGCCAGUAGUGAUGUUGUCAACAGGUGCAGCAGAGGAAUCAGAGAAAGGCCUAAUAGCCAUGUAAUAUUGGCCGACGUUUUGAUCGGCAAUGACCAAAACAUCCAUGGUUUGGCCAGGGCUUAUCAUUAUAUAGUCGGUGGUGAACAUUCGAACGUAGGAGGCAUCUUGUGCGACGACAAUGAGGGUGUGGUUUGUGAUGGUGAAGAAUAGCUCUUCGUUCAUUGCAGCAUUGAUUAUGCGGAGAAGGUAUAUAUUCUCAGAAUCAACUUCCAUGAGGAAUUUUGUAUCCGCAACACCCAAUUAUAGACUCUUAGUGUAAGUAAGGGAUUCCUAGGGAUAGAAACUCGAUUCCGGUUUCUGUAAUGUUGAGAACGUACCAUUGGGGCAUCCAUAUGUGUCUCCUAAAUGUCCAUUGAUAGCGUAAGCAUCUGCUUCGCGAGGACCAACACCAGCUGCGAGUGCAUCAUCGAUAAUUUGCUUGUAAUCCCCAUUGUACCACGAUUCUGUAUAUACAGACAAGAAUCAAACUAAGAUUCAUAUCAUUAUACACAAGUAACACAACCGAAAAAUCAAAAGACAUACUUACGAAGUAUGAUUGUUUGAUCGGCGUCUGGAGUGGGGAAAGGAUAAGUUUCGUUCUCAGCUGGUAAAAUGAUGAAAGCUCCAUGGACAGAACCGCGAGUCCAGUCACUGUGUGCAUUCCACCACAGGGUUCCUAUUUCAUCCGAUAAUAUGAUUUCAUGGGUGAAGUUGGUCCCUGGUUGAAUCGGGCACUGCGUUAUGAACUCAGGACCGUCGGACCAUGGAUUCCUUGGUUGUUUCACGCCGUGCCUGCAACAUGUUUAAUUUAUCUUAAUCACUAAUGAAUUCAAUUCUUAGGGAAAUUAUCAUUGGAAGAAUGAAAGAAAGGUUAUAGUUACCAGUGAAUGGUGAAGCCAUAGUUUCCUUGAUUGUAGACAUUAACGAAGACUGUGUCACCUUUGUGAACCCGAAUCUCAGGCCCCGGGUAACUGUCGUUUACGACCAGCAAUGUCGUUGUGUUGCACUGUUUCGUAAAGUUUGACUCUCGCACCUGCAAUAAAAAAAUUAUGGUUUCACUUAUUAUAUAUUAAUCAACAAAAACUAUAUAAGAAAAAGGUAAUCAUUUCGCUGUCCAAGCAACCGUGAUGAUUUUGUUGUCUUCACUCUCAUACGCUUAGCCAUCAUGUUUUUAGGAGUCAUAUUUUAAUAAGAAGUCUAAGAUUAAUAGACGAAAUCACUGUGACAUGUAAGAAUAUAUAAGAAAAGGGAACUCACAAAGAACUCAUAGUGAUGUACAUCAGCACUGCAAAGCAGCAAAGUGCUUAGAAAUAGAACCCCUACAAACCAUGAGGCCAUAUCUCGCUGUAAACCCUUUUUUUUUUCUCUCUCUCUCUCUCUACCGUGUUCUUAGUUCUCCCCUGAAUUUUAUCAUCUUUGGGCCAUAAAAUUCAACCAUUUAUAGGAAAGGAAGCUCCUGCUCCUUUGGUUUCUUUCUUUGCAACUACAAUUUGUACACAUUGGCAUUGGGAAAAAACAAACGUUCCAGAAUAUAUAUUAAAAAAAUGGAAAAUGGAAAUUAUGUAUUACGUGUAUACAUUGACUCGAGGAAAAUAAAAUACCCUUGGGGGUUACCAAUAACAUCAAGCCACCUGUCCACUACAUUUUUUAAAACGGUUUUUCCAUUUAUUUCAAUUUUUUAUAUCUUAUGUUAAACAUUAUUUUAUAUUUUAAUUUUGCUUUUUACAGAAAUCCACUGCCAUGUAAUUCAAAAUUCAUAUUUAAUCCGAUUAUUUUAUUAAUUUUUAUUUUAAAAAUUUGUAUUUAAAUUAAGAUAUGGGUGUUUGCUAACUUGCUAAUAGUUUUGGUAUUUAUUUUUGAACCACUUAGGAAAAAAAUUUAAACAUAUUUUUUAUUAUUUAAUUAUAAAUGAUAUUUUUUUAAUACUAAUAUAUCAUGUUAUGUGUUGCAUGAAAUUUUAUGUGUUUAUUUUAAUUUAUUAAAUAAUAUAUUUUUAUAAUAUCAAAAAAUAAUUUUUAUUUAAAUGAGGAUUUGUUUUAAUUUUUUAAAAUAAUUUACAAAAUAAAAUACCAUUUUAAAAGUAAUAAAAAUAAAAAAUGAAAACAACUUAUAGUAAAAUAGUAAGUAAUUAAAUAAAAUAAUUUAAAUCAAGCAUAAAAUCAGUAUUGAACUAAAAAUUAAUUAAACAUUGAAUUAAUAGAUACAUCUAUUAAAAUAAUAAAUAUAUUUGAAACUAUAUAAGAAAGUACAUGAUAAUAAUAAAUUGAAAAAAUAAAAAGAAAAUAGUCACGCAUCACUUAUAUUAAAAGUUCAUGACAAAUAUCAACCCAUUUAAUAAUGAUUAUAAUAUAAUUUUUAAAAUUUGAAUUAAUAUUUAAAAUUUGAAUUUCCUUUCAAAUCAAACAAAUACAGGAUAGAUAAAAAAAACACUUUUACUAUCAACUUUCAAUGGUGGUACAAAAAGAUGCAUUUCUUAUUAUCAAAGUUGAUGAUUGCUUAUGUUUUGAAUACUCCUAGAUCGGAAGAGAACGAAAACGAAUCUGUUGUUGCAACCCAUAAAAGGUAAAAAUGGACAAUGUUGAUUACAUGUGCAUAGACCACAUAUUGAAUGAUUUAUCUUAUGGUUUGUUGAAAACCUCCUAGAACAAGACCACAAUCUAGGAGUUAUGGGACAAAUCUGAGCAAUAUACAUGAUCGAAGAUGCUACAAGUAAGAAAUUUCUUACUAGUCAUUUCAAUAAUUAUCACAUGAUUGAUGGUCGUUCUGUUAUGAAAUAAUUUCGUGAAAUUGAAAAAAUAUUGAAUUCAUUUAUGCAAUAUAACAUGACAAUAUAUGAAGUGGUUGUAUCCUCCAUUGUAGAUAAACUUUCUCCAUCUUGGAAAGACUUUAAAAGAAGUCUAAAACAUAAGAAAGAUGAUAUAUUUCUUGAGGCUUUAACAAAUCAUCUUCAAAUUGAAGAAAAAUAUAGAAAGCAAGAGCAAAACUCAGAACCCAGAUUCUGAAAAUAUCAAAGUACACGUUAUCGAGGAAUGACAGAUUAUUAAACCAUCAAAGAGAAAGUUCAAACAAACUGUUAGAGGGCCUAAUUUCAAGAAGCAAUAAAGAAGAUCGUGUUGCCAUUAUGGUAAGCUGAGACAUUUCAAGAAUGAAUGUCAAUUUUUAAAGAAGAAUAUUUCUUCUAAUGUUAACAAUACAGAGAAGUUUGUUUCCAUGAUUUUUGAAAUUGAUAUAAUAUAAGAUGAUAAUGCAUGGUGGAUUGAUAUUGGAGCAAUCAAACACAUGUCCAAGGAAAAAGGUUUGAUCUCAAAGUUCACAUAAUAUGAAUAUGACAAUGACUUGUACAUGAGAAAUUUUCCAACCACAACAAUCAAAGGCAAAUGAUCGAUUGAACUACGAUUCACUUUUGAAAAUGUUUUAACCUUUAAUAAUGUAUAUUAUGUGUCACAUGCAAAUUUUUAAAAAUAUAUUUUUUAUUAAAUUAUUUUUGAGCGUAAGUGAAAAAAAAUGUCUAGUUGAGUGAGCCAACCUUAUGAAUUAUGAUUUUAUUAAUAUAUAGUUUUGAGAUUUAUCCCUAAUACAUUUAAUGCGAACUAUUAGAAAUUAUUAAUAUGUUGGUUAAAUGUUGACAAAAAGAAUUAUUAAAGUUUGAAACUUCAAACUAUAUUUAGCUAUUUAUCAUUCAACCUAGCAUGUAAUGGUAUUCCACUAGUAAUUAUUAUCUUCUGCUUAGUUUUAGAGGUGGAGUUGACAUGGUAUAUGAAUUUCCUUAGUAGUUUGAGCUAAGAAAUCAUUAAACAAUGCGUGAAUCAUGUUAGAAUUUUAAAUAAUAUCUAAUAUAAAAUUAGAACUGUAAAUUAAGAUCUGUUAUGUCAAAUCAUUAAGAAUAAAUCAAUAACAGAAUUAGAUGCAGAAGCGUACUUGAAUCCAUCAAUUCUUUGAAAUUUUCUGGAUCAUAGGGUUUUGAUCUUCCAAAUAGCACACAAGAAAUUUAGAGAAUAUUUGCUCUCUCUUUCCUAAGGAUGGGAUAUUAAAAACGAUAUCUUGUGUAUAAUUUAAGGACCAUAACCCUAUUAUAUAACUUUGACACAUUAGCCCUAAUUCCUAAUUAGCCCAUCAUUAAUUAGAAAUUGAUUAGAACUGAAUCCAUACUUUAUUUAAUAAUUAAAGCCCAAUAAACCUUAACUAAAUUAGAUCACUUUUAAUUUGGGCUAACCUAUCAUGAUAAUAAAUAAUAACAUGUAAUUACCCUUAUUAUAUAUGUGAUGUCCAUAUUUUCUAACAAAUCAAAUGUGAGUAAUGUUUUUCUCCUUAUACAUGAGAAAACGUAAAAUGACCAAAUGCAACUAAUGUACAAAAUUUCACCAAAUAAAGCAAAAUGCACGAGGUAACUAUAGCAAAGAAUCAUAAAACUGUAACACACGAAUAACAUGUUUUAGAAAAGCAAUACUAUCAGAUUAAUUAAUGCUUAUCGUAAAUGAAAAUACCAAGGAUUUUUAUACACGUCAAUAAGAUUAACUAACGCGGUAAUCACUAUUGUAAAUCGUUUUAAUUGCAUCUUUACAACACUACUGAUCUAACUACUCUAACAAUGAUCCCAUCUAUUUCAAAGUCAAAAUUAAGUUGGAGAUUAUCCAGCUGCCAUCUAGGCAUCUACGACUUUGUUUGCAACUCUGAAUAAAUUAUUUACGGGAAAAGACAUGAAAAAUAAUUAAAACAUUGCAUGCAUGCAUGCAGUUUAGUCUGUAUAGAAAAUGAUCCACGUUCGAAAUAUUUUAACUUCAUUUAAGUUACGUGUAUGAUGGUCUUAAAGACUAUAGGAAUGAGACAAUUUCCAGAAAAUAGGGCCAUGUAGGAGAAGACGUAAUGGCUCACAAUUUUUGACUCUACAUUUUGCUCAUAACUAUCCACACUCACUGUAUCUUUAUCUCUUGUAUUAUACACCAAGUUUUAUCUCGGUAUUGACUUUCGCAUGUUCCAAUUUUUUUUCCAUAGGCAAUGUUCAUUCAAUUGGGGUGCAAAUGAUUUACCUAAGGCCAAGGGGUCAUGACUCUAAACUAAAUGUAUAUGAAUUUCUUUUAACUUGUAAAUAAAUUUAUUUUGUUAUAAUUUUUUAAAAAUUAUUAAAAUAUAUUUUUAUAAUUAAAUUUGCAUUAAGCUGUGUCAAAUUUUAAAACAUAUAUAUAAUGGUGGUUUUAAUCAAGUUAAGGUUUUUUCUUUUUUUCAGACAAUUCAGUGUCCAAUAGUUAUAUAUAAGACUUUACUUAAUGCAUCCUUUCGUCACUAAGUCACUAAAGUAUAUAUACUGUUUUCCUAAUUUUUUUUUCCUAUUUUAAUCCUUUGGAAGUUAAAAUUAAUAAUUAAGAUAUUCAACCAAUUAUGUAUCAUAUUAUGACAUCAUAGUGACAUCAUCUCCAGAAAAUCUUUAAAAGAUCUUUUAAAAAUGAAAAUUAUUAAAAAUUACAAAAAAAAUUGAUAAAAGUAUACAAGUUUUUACUAAAAAUUACUAUUUUUUUAAACUAAAUUAUAAUUUUUAAUAUUUUUUACUAGAGCUUGAAUAUAAGAUCAUUAUCUUUUGAAAGGACAGCACGUAAGAAAAUUGUUUUAUAAUUCAAUCAAUCAAAAUGAUUUUUUAAGUGAUAAAUUUAGAUGAAUUUUUACAAUUUAUUAAAAUAAUGAAAAAUAAUAUUAUUUCAAUUCAAAUAAUAAUGCAAGUAUUCAAAUAUGCCAUCCUUCUCCCCAUGUCCACCAUUAUUAUCGAGUGUUUAAUACAAAAUAAAGACAGCAUUGACACAAUGAUGGAAGGAAGAAGUUUACGCUAGAAACAUCGGGAAAGUCUAAAAGUUAAUGUAAUUUAAAAUAAUAAAAUUUUGAUGUAAAAAGUGUUAAUUUUUAUUAAAAUAAUUUUAAAAUACAAUUUUUAUAAAAAAAUUGAUUGUAUUUUUAAUUAAAUACAACUUUUAUAUCAAAUUUUAAUAUUUUAAAUGUGAUUAGCCAAUCUUUAUUCUAAGAUGCAAUAAAUUUUCCCCCUUUUUUUUAGUUUUAAAACUUUUUACAAUUUCUAUAAAAAAACCCUAGAAGCCAAGAGUUCUAUCCCUAAUAUCCUAGCAAGAACAGUGGCUGCUGCGGCUUGGGAUGAUGGAAAGUGGUGGCAACGACGGGUUUGGGGGCGAUGAGAUCUCCCUGCUGGCAGAGGAAUUAAUUCAAUUAUCGGUUAAAACUUCGACGGUGGAACCAAGUGAGAAACCAACUCUAAUCUGUACUAUUUGGACAGAGAAAUCUUACAAUCCAGAUAGCUUCAAAGCGCAGAUGAGAAGUAUUUGAAAAAUAAAAAAAAGUUUGAAAUUCAAUUGGUAGGGCAAAACCUGUUUAUGAUUGUCUUUGAUUUAGAGGAAGAUUUAGAAACUAUUAUGGAAGGACAGCCAUGGUUGUUUAGGAAAAGUUUAGUCAUCUUUGAUCGACUGACUAAACCAAUGGAAAGAAAUCAGAUCAGAUUAGUUUCAUCCCCGUUUUGGAUCAAGAUUGGGCCAUGUUUACCAGAAUUUGAUAAAAAAGAUCUCUUGCAUGCCAUAGGGGUUACUUUCGGAGGUGUUCUCAGAUCUGAAGUUAAUGGUGAGUUUUGUCGCCUUAGAGUUAAUUUAAAAAUACAGAAACCCUUGCGUAGGGGUAUAUUUGUUUUACGAAGCAAUGGAAGUAGAUACUGGAUCCCUUUCAAAUACGAGAGAUUACCAAAAUUCUGCUUUACCAAAAUUCUGCUUUGGUUGUGGCAUAAUGGGGCAUGAUCUUUAAGAAUGCACAGUAGUGGAACCUGCAGAAAAAGACAGAAUUAGAGAAGACCCACAUUUUUCUUUAGCACUUAAAGUAGAAUUAAAUUUAAUUGGAAAGGAGUGUAUGAAAUUUAAUGCUAUAGGGAAAAAAUUACAAUCACAGAGCUCGUACACAGGAGGAGUCACAGCGAAUCAGAAAACGUGCUUGUUUGAUGGCAAAAAUAGUGGUCAGAUUCCAGUACUGCAAAAAGAGGUGUGGGCGACAAUAACAAGAACAGAGAUAAGGAAGCAGCUGGAAGGAGAACAAGAUAGGAAUAUUUCAGAAAAAGACAAAACCGACGAAGAAUUAUUACAGCCAAUCAAGAAAUCCAGCUGGAGGAGAGUUAAACCGUUAGAACCGAUGGAAUGUCAUGAAGUUGAGAGUAAAUUGCAGAAGAGGAAAUUGGCAGAUGUUGAUUAUGAUGAUUACAUCACAGAAGAAUCACGAGAUAAGGCAACAAAGAGGAAGAUAUGUGAAGGAAAGGAGUUGUUACAUGAGGUGGAAACAAAUAUGUCUGUUGUCAACCUCACCCAGAAUAGAUCGGCGGCUGCCAAAAGGCAAGCCGACCGGACGCAAUGAAAAUCAUUUGCUGGAAUGUCCGUGGAUUGGGGAGCCCACGGGCAAUAAGAAGGUUUUAGUUUUUAUUGAAACAGAAUAAUCCCCAAAUAGUUUUCAUCAUGGAGACUAAAGUUAGUGAAAGGCGAAUGGAGAGUAUUAGACGGAGGUGUGGUUUUCUGAAUGGUUUUGAUGUAGGAGCAGUAGGUUCGCGAGGAGGACUCUGUCUAGCAUGGAAAGAGCAGACCCAGGUUAGUCUUAAAACCUUUUCAAAUAAUCAUAUUGAUGUAUUGAUCAAAGAAGAUGAUGGUGGUACAGAAUGGAGAUUCACAGGGUUUUAUGGGUCACCUUAUAUACAUGAUAAAACUAGUUCAUGGGAUUUAUUAAGAACUCUGAGGCAGGAACAGAACUAUCCUUGGCUAGUUUGUGGAGAUUUUAACUAAAUAAUGUAUUCUUUUGAAAAAAAUAGAGGUCAGGAAAGGGAGGAAAAAAGGAUGGAAGCAUUCCGUGAUGUACUAGAAGAAUGCCAACUUAUUGAUGUAGGAUAUUCAGGAGUAUGGUAUACGUGGGAAAGAGGGAAUCUACCGAGUACAAACAUUAGAGAAAGACUGGGUCGUGGUGUUGCAAAUGGAAAAUGGAUGGAGUCUUCCCAAGUGGCAAUGUUCACCACUUAACGUCUUCACUUUCUGAUCAUUGCCCUCUUUUGAUUAGCACAACAAAUGCGGGUAGGUUAAAAAGAACUCCAAGAUUUAAGUUUGAGGCAUGGUGGACUGCAGAGGAAUCGACUGAAGAGGAGAUUAGGAAAUCAUGUGAGUCAUCAAAUGGAUCUCUAGUUGAAAAAUUCAAAAGUUUACAGAUCAGUCUGACAAGAUGGGCACAAUCAAUAAGGAAGGCCGGGAAAGAGUUGACGAAUAAAUUCACAAAGGAGCUUGAAAUUCUGCUGGAAAAGGACAGAGAUGAUGAUACAAUGGCACAGAUAAUAAAUGCGAGAAUCCAUUUAAAUUUGGAAGUUGAUAAAGAAGAUAUGUACUGAGAACAAAGAGCAAAAGUAAACUGGCUUCAGCUAGGGGACAGGAAUACGACAUUUUUCCACAAAUAUGCUUCAAUACGAAAACGUAUUAAUACGGUUAACAGGCUAGAUACAGAUGAUGGAAGGGAGAUUGUUGAAGAAACAGAAAUAAUUGAGACUGUUGCAAAGUACUUCCAGAAUCUUUUUCUAUCUAAUGGGGUAAGGAAUCUUUCCCACCUCUUAUCAGGUAUCAAGAAUAGCAUCUCUCCAAACAUCAACACAAUUCUACUUGCACGAUAUACGGCAGAAGAGAUCUUCAAUGCAAUAAAAGGUAUGGGACCCACUAAAGCACCAGGUUAUGAUGGCUUUCUAGCACUUUUCUUCCAGAAUUACUAGCAUAUUGUGGGUAAAUAUAUUAAAGAAUUUUGCUUGGGAGUUUUGAAUGAUGGAAAAAGCCUUGGUGAUUUCAACCUUACUGACAUAGUACUUAUCCCGAAGAUUCUCAACCCCACAAAUCUUGUCAACUUCAAGCCUAUCAGCUUAUGCAUAAUUAUUUAUAAAAUAGUAGCCAAAGUUAUUGCUUAUCGUCUUCAGGAAUUCAUUGGUGGAUGUAUUGACAAUGCUCAAAGUGCGUUUAUUCCUGGGAGGUUAAUUUCUGACAAUAUUUUGGUUGCCUAUGAAAUUAUGCAUACACUUCGACAAAAAAGAACAGGGAAAAAAAGAUUCAUGGCAGUGAAACUCGACAUGAGCAAAGCAUAUGACAGAGUUGAGUGGACAUUCCUGAAAGAAGUAAUGCGUCGAAUGGGCUUUGUAGAGGAAUGGAUAUCACUAAUUAUGAGAUGCAUUUCUACAGUCUCUUAUGUGGUAAACAUCAAUGGAAGGAGGAGUAAUGUUUUCAAACCUACUAGAGGACUCCGUCAAGGGGACCCACUUAGUCCUUUUCUUUUUCUAAUCUGUAGUGAGGGACUUUCGUCCUUACUCAGGAUAGCAACAGCAGAAGGUUUGAAAAAAGGAGUUAAGGCUAGUAGAAGGGGUCCGGCGAUCUCACAUUUAUUAUUUGCGGACGAUUGUAUCUUGUUCAGUGAAGCUUCAAAAAAUAAAAUAAUGAUUUUGAAAGACAUCUUGAAGGAAUACGAGAGGUGUCCAGGCCAAUGUGUGAAUUUUAACAAGUCCACGGUUUUUUCAGUUCCAAUAUGGUGGAAGGGGACAAAGCAGCUAUUUCAACUGAAAUGGGAAUAAGGCGUUCAACAAAUAUGGAGAAAUAUUUAGGAUUGCCUAAUAUGGUAGGAAGGAGAAAGAAGGAAUCCUUUCAGAACCUUAAGGAUAGGAUUAAAUUGAAGAUUGAGAAUUGGAGUACAAGGUUUCUAUCACAAGGGGAAAAAGAGGUUUUUAUAAAAUCUGUUCUUCAGGCUAUACCAACUUAUGCUAUGGCAUGCUUUCUUCCACCAAAAUCAUUAUGCGAGGAGUUCGAAAAUAUUUUCGCUAGAUACUGGUGGCAAAAAAGUCAGAAAUCGAAAGGGAUUCAUUGGUGCAAAUGGAAAGCUAUGUGCAGCUCUAAAGAGGAGGGCGGAAUGGGAUAUAGAGAUAUGGCUCAGUUUAAUAUUUCUUUACUUGCUAAGCAGGGUUGGAGAAUUAUCAAUAAUCAGGAUGCUCUUGUUACGCAAUUUUUUAAAGUGAAAUAUUUUCCAAAUGAUCAUUUUUUAAAUUCUCGUUAGGGAAAUUCCGGCUCUUAUGUAUGGAAAAGUAUUUAGGCAGCGAAGGCUUUACUGGCAAAGGGGUUAUACUGGAGAGUUGGUACGGGUUCUAAUAUACUCAUUAAUGAUGAUGAUUGGGUUCCGGAGGCAGUAAAUUUCAGAUUAUCAACAGUGAAUAAUUCAAUGCGUAAUCUCAAAGUUAAUGAGUUAAUCGAUAACAAUACCAGGCUUUGGAAGAAGGAGUUGAUAAAUAAUACCUUCACAGAAGAAGAUGCUGCAAGAAUUCUUCGAAUCCCUCUGGCACGAACGCCUCACGAGGAUUUCCUCAUCUUGGGAGGUGAGUUGACGGGUGAAUUCACGGUCCGAAGUGCUUAUAAACUAUUACAGAGUUCGAAUGAAGACCCUAGCGCUUAUACGUUACAACUUAUCUAUAGGAAAUUCUACAAAAAACUUUGGAGCCUAAAUCUACCAGCUAAAANNNNNNNNNNNNNNNNNNNNNNNNNNNNNNNNNNNNNNNNNNNNNNNNNNNNNNNNNNNNNNNNNNNNNNNNNNNNNNNNNNNNNNNNNNNNNNNNNNNNNNNNNNNNNNNNNNNNNNNNNNNNNNNNNNNNNNNNNNNNNNNNNNNNNNNNNNNNNNNNNNNNNNNNNNNNNNNNNNNNNNNNNNNNNNNNNNNNNNNNNNNNNNNNNNNNNNNNNNNNNNNNNNNNNNNNNNNNNNNNNNNNNNNNNNNCCUGGGUAUUUGAACAACUCAAUCCUUGUCAAAGUCGUUUAUUCUGCUGCGAUCUAUGGGCCAUAUGGGGAGAUCGAAACAGAAGAAUACACGAAGGAAAAGUUAGCAACGGCAAAGAAACUGCAAAUUUCAUCAACAAUUACAUUACUGAGUUAACUCACUUUGAAAGAAGGAAAUCGAAAAAAAUCACAGGAAAGCAAAGAUGGCAGCAUCCACAUCGUGAGUUUAUAACAAUAAAUUUUGAUGGAGCAUAUCAUGAAAGUCAGUAUUGCUCAGCCAUAGGUAUUGUGGCCAGUGAUGCCGAAGGAAGUGUUUUGUUAUCCUAUUCAGAGUUACAGAAAGACAUUACCUCUGCAUUUGCCGCUGAAGCAAUAGCUUGUUGGAGAGCAGUCUAAAUCAGAGUCGAUCGGGGAUGGCAAUCAAUCAUUUUUUAGGGAGAUUCCCUCGCAAUAAUUAAAAAAUGCAAUACCACAGGUCAAGAUCGAUCAAUGAUAGGGGUUUAUAUUCAUGAUAUCCAACAGGAAAUCAGUAAGUUUAAUAAAGUCAGAUUUCAGCACACACCAAGAUCUGCAAAUAAUCUCGCACACAUUCUUGCAACGAAAACCCUAAAGAGGAAAGAGGAGAUUUACCUUGAAAUGGAGGUCCCUGAGUAUGCAAAGAAGCAGAGAAGAUAUGACUGGUUGCGUGAACCAGACUAGAAAAUGACAGAAGAUGAGGGAAGAAAGGAAGAAAUGCUUCAAAACUAAAGAAAGUGAAACGGUUCAAAAGAAGCUUUGCCAGAGAAAUCGUCGAAAUGGAAAUGAAAUGAUGGGAAGACGAAAUGACAGAUUUCAGCAAAUUUUGAUUGGGCAUUUAGUCGGUGCUUUUAUUAUAGGUUCCAGAACUCUCUUUUUUCAUAUCUCUCUUUUUAAUAUCUUGAUUUUUUCAACUUUGGCCAUCUGUUUUGGGCCGGGUUUUUCUAGGAUAAUAGGUUUAUAAGUUUUGUCAUACUGUUUUCUAUUAAUAAAGCCCAUUCUUAAUUUUUUUCAAAAAAAAAACUUUUUACAAUUCCUAAUAACUUUUAUAAAUUUUUAGAGCUUUUAUAUUUUCUUUUACAAUUUUAAAAUAUUCUAACAUAUUUUUAAAAAUAUUAAGAACAUGUAACGUUAGGGAUUGAACUGGAAAUGUCUAAUAACAUUAGAGAUUGAGAUGAGUCAAAAAAAACCUUUAACUAUCAAUUGGAAAAAAGGUACGUACGGUAGGAGUUAAGGUAUGCAUUAAGCCAUUACACUUUAAUUAAAUUUGAAGUUGAAUCAAGUCAAAUAUUUGAAUGAGAGAUAAAACUCUCUCAAUGUUGUUUUCUUCUUUUACAAAACUUGAAUCCAAAAUCUAAAAUAAAAUACGUUAAACUUUUUUAACUACAAUUGUUUUUAUAUUUUUUAUGUCCAUUUUAAUUCAAUGUCGUAUCUAAAAUUUAAAUUUGCAUCUCUUCCUAAAAGUAUAAUAUACCUUAGACCGUACCCAACACAUAUUAUAAAUUCAUUUUUUAACUACUUAAUUACAGGGGAGGAGGGACUUGACAUCAUUGGGAUAAUCAUGGGUCGUUAGUAAUGUUUUCCUUUGCUGAAUUUAUGUAGAUUUGGAAGCUCUUAAAAUGGGCAAAUUAGAGUUGUAGUGGCAUAUGAUUUUUCCCUUAAUUAAUUUUCAUAUACACUGCCAAAAACUAGGUAGGCAGUGGCAUAAUCUCUUGCAACUCCGUCAUCUCGUUUCCAUGUUGAUUUGAUCUUUCCGUUUCCGUCCAUGUGGGAAAUGAAAAAGUCGUUUUGCAUGUCACUUGUCUCGACACCUUUCCAUACCAAAUGGCUGUUUUCAAACUUUAACUCACCUCCUUAGAAAACUGGUUGUUAAGAAAUGGAUGAAAACCAAAAACAUUACAUAAAGGAAGGGGAGAACUGAAGAACACAUAUACAUAGAACCAAAAACAAAAAGAUCACAUGGGUUCUGAAAAGCAAGGGUUUAUAUGGUUAUCAGGGCUUUUGUUUCUGAAUAUCUUUGUCUUAUCCACAGCCGAUGUCCACUAUUACGAGUUUUCUGUAAGUUCCUUGCAUGUUCCCCCUUUUCUGUUUGUGUUAAUAAGAGAGAGCAGUGCUGAAUUUUCAUUUUGGGUUUUGUUUAAAUUAGUUGCAAGAAUCCCCGUUCACAAAGCUGUGUAGCACGAAGAUCAUCUUGACCCUCAAUGGCAGCUUUCCAGGGCCUGAGAUUCGGGUUCGCAGAGGGGACACAGUUUUUGUCAACGUCCACAAUCAAGGAAACCAUGCUGUAUCCCUCAAGUGGUAAUAUAUACAUACAUGUAUAUGCUUACACACCUUGUUUAUGAUGAAACAAUUAGUCAUAUAUAUAUAGCUAUGUUUGUGGGUUUUUAGGGAGGGAGUUAAGGGUUCAAUUGAUGGUUCGAAUGAGUUGAUUCAGCCAGGGAGAAACUUCACUUACAAGAUAGAGUUAAAGGAUGAAAUAGGAACUCUGAGGUGGCACGCUACCAGUGCUUGGGCUGCUGCAACCGUCCAUGGUGCCUUUGUCAUUUUGCCAGUAGCCACUGAAGACUAUCCUUUCCCUGCACCUACUUCUGAUCAAACAAUUAUACUUGGUACAUCUGAUUAACAUGUUUGAUUCAUAUAUUUUGCAAAUUAAUUGCUUAUAUGAAUGUUUUGGCAUAAUAUUCCGUUAGGGGAAUGGUUCAGGGAAGAGUUAACGGAAGCUAAUCAAACCAUAACUCCUGGCUCAGCAGAUGCUUACACUAUCAAUGGCCACCCCGGAGAAACAUAUGGAUGCAGCAACGGUACGUAUCCGCUAUUGUUUAGACUUUUUCUUUUCCUGGUAUCUGAUAUCUGGUAAUGACUUAGGCCUCACUGUUUCCAAGUUAAGUCAGGUCGGAUAUUCAUAAGACUAAAAUCCGAGAUGUUGGACCCGUCAAAUCUUGUUUUUUUUUUUUUUAUAACUCUAUUUUAUACUUUUAAUACGUAAGUUUGCAUCACAUGAAUUAAGCAUCCUCUUCCCUAGGCCAUACAGCAUGAAAUGAAAGCUGAUAAUAGAUUAAUUUUUAUGCAGAAACCUUUACUAUGAAUGCUAAUAAUCCAACAAUUUUGAUGUUGUAGAUACAACUUUUGAGAUGCAAGUAGAUUACGAGGGCCUUUACCUUGUUGGCGUAAUAAAUGCUGUUGCCAAUGAAACAAUGGUGUUUGACAUCGAAAACCACAGAUUGACCAUUGUCGGACAAAAUGGGACCUAUACCAAUCGUUCCUUUACAAAUUCUUUAACCCUAGCCCCAGGCCAAGUUAUUGACGUCUUGUUGCUUCCAAACCAAAAUGUUGGCCAUUAUUACAUCACUGCUCGAUCUUCCUCCGGCACACAUAUUACCAAUGGAAUUCUGCGAUA